This 398-nucleotide long non-coding RNA is filed under the name Homo sapiens (human). RNAcentral describes it as "non-protein coding lnc-VPS8-1:2". The record is from RNAcentral. Lineage: Eukaryota; Metazoa; Chordata; Mammalia; Primates; Hominidae.
GCUAGUCCCGAUGUCUUGGUUAUCUCUUGUGUAUCCAGCACCCAAGGGAAGGAGCAUCCCAUGGCUACAACUCUCAAGCAUCGAAAUGGAACCUGUGAGAGUUCUUCACCCCACAGGGAACUCCUUCCACCAAACUUAGGGGAGCGAGAAAGGGGUUGUAAGGACUUGCCUUUGUAUCUCCCCAGCCCCUGCACAGGGCUGGAUUUGCAUAUGUUAAUAUGGAGAACUGCAACUAUUUAAUGAGAAGCAGUGGGCCACGUGGAUGGAUUUUUCUCCCCAGAACAUCCCUGGGAAUCAUUUCUGUCAGAUGCUUCACUGGAUGUCCCUUGGUCUUUACAGCCAUCUAUCCUCCUUCUCCAACCCCCACCUCGAAUUGCAACUUGCUAUUUUAAUUAUAG